UGGCUAGCUAAAUUACAUGCCUUGUUUAACUUAUCUGUAAAAGAAAGCAAAGGCUGUCUCUGGGUUAUUUGGAGAACCAGAAGAAAUGAUGCAGGACCUGUCUCUUGGCCCAUGGGACACCAUGUUUGCCUUUGAGCAGAGCUCAGGCUGGACCAGUUAAGUUAUAGGACAAGCUUGGUACAGCGAGGCAGGCUGGAGAGUGAGGGAAAUGUGGCUCCAGUUCAAAUCAACGAGAGGCUCCACCUGCAGGUAUACCGGGUCGUGCUGCCAGGCUGGAGGAAGAGAAGGCUAUGGUGGUAGUGGCAGAAGUGAAAUCUGCUGUACAACAGGAAGUGACCUCACCCAGGAAGGCUGCGGCAGAGGGUUCCACAAGUAUGUUCCAAAUGAACACCUGCUCCCCGGGUAUUACCUGAGCAGCCUGUGCUGAGACAAAGCAGAGUUUAUGGCUCAGUGCUGCAAGAAAAUAUGAGAAUCUUAGUUGCCUUUGAGAACAUGCCUGGGGCUGGGGUUGUUGCCAGUGAUAGAGUACUUGGAUAGCAUGCAUGAGGGCCCAGGUUCCUUCCCAGCAAUGCAAAAUAACUAAAAAUCUGAUUUAAAGUGGACCUUUCAGUGUGGGAUGGGAAAACAGGGCUUGAUUAAAAUUGGAUCAGGACCAUGACAUCAUACUUUACGAUUGGGUGCACACUUAUAAUCCCAGCACUCAGAAAGCUGAGGCAGGAGGAUCACUUCAAGUUUGAGGCCAGCCUGAACUACAUAGUGAGACCUUGUCUCAAAAAAAAAACCCAAGGUUUUUCAGUGGUGCCAUGCUUGCCUGGCAAGCACAAGAUCCUGAGUUCAAUUCAAUUCCCAGUGCCAAAAAAAAAAAAAACCUUUUAUGGGCUGGGGAUUUAGCUCAGUGGUUCUGCCACCUGCCUCAAGAGCAUAAGGUUCCGAGUUUGAUCCCCAAUACCAAAAAAAACACAACAAACCAAACUUUUGAAUUGGUGGGCACUGUAAGGCUAGAAUUUUCAGGCAUGUGGUAUAAAGCAUCUUAGACUAACUCGUCAUUGAAUGGAGACGGAGACAUUGGCGAAGGAAGGCACUUACCUUUAGAAGGAGCAGGAAGGAUAUUUGUAAUUUAUCUUCUAAGAGUUUCUUAGAGUAAUAAGUUCAUAAGAUGAAGAAAGCAAGCUGUGUACAGUUUCCAAUUUCUUAGGUUUCCUCUCUCCUUUUGGGCAGGGG
This 1221-nucleotide long non-coding RNA is filed under the name Heterocephalus glaber (naked mole-rat). Its description in RNAcentral is "lncRNA (ENSHGLG00000038466.1)". Lineage: Eukaryota; Metazoa; Chordata; Mammalia; Rodentia; Bathyergidae. The record is from RNAcentral.